AUUGAACGCUGGCGGCAUGCCUUACACAUGCAAGUCGAACGGCAGCACGGGUGCUUGCACCUGGUGGCGAGUGGCGAACGGGUGAGUAAUACAUCGGAACGUACCUUAUCGUGGGGGAUAACGCAGCGAAAGCUGUGCUAAUACCGCAUACGCCCUGAGGGGGAAAGCGGGGGAUCGAAAGACCUCGCGCGAUUAGAGCGGCCGAUGCCUGAUUAGCUUGUUGGUGGGGUAAAAGCCCACCAAGGCGACGAUCAGUAGCUGGUCUGUGAGGACGAUCAGCCACACUGGGACUGCGACACUGCCCAGACUCCUACGGGGGGCAGGAGUGGGGAAUUUUGGACAAUGGGGGCAACCCUGAUCCAGCAAUGCCGCGUGAGUGAAGAAGGCCUUCGGGUUGUAAAGCUCUUUUGUCAGGGAAGAAACACCGGCUCUAACACAGUCCGGGAAUGACGGUACCUGAAGAAUAAGCACCGGCUAACUACGUGCCAGCAGCCGCCGUAA
RNAcentral lists this ribosomal RNA (501 nucleotides) under uncultured bacterium. RNAcentral describes it as "partial 16S ribosomal RNA". It matches the Rfam family "Bacterial small subunit ribosomal RNA", at positions 30 to 523 of the family's 1533-position model. The record is from RNAcentral.